AGCGAACGCUGGCGGCAGGCCUAACACAUGCAAGUCGAACGAACUCUUCGGAGUUAGUGGCGGACGGGUGAGUAACACGUGGGAACGUGCCUUUUGGUUCGGAAUAACUCAGGGAAACUUGUGCUAAUACCGAAUGUGCCCUUCGGGGGAAAGAUUUAUCGCCAUUAGAGCGGCCCGCGUCUGAUUAGCUAGUUGGUGAGGUAACGGCUCACCAAGGCGACGAUCAGUAGCUGGUCUGAGAGGAUGACCAGCCACACUGGGACUGAGACACGGCCCAGACUCCUACGGGGGGGAGCAGGGGGGAAUCUGCCACAAUGGGCGAAGGCCGAACGCACCCAUGCCGGGUAAAAGUUGAAGGUUUUAGGAUUGUAAAAUUUUUUCCCCGGGGGCGAAAAGGACGGAACCCGAGAAAAAAGCCCCGGCUAACUUCGU
RNAcentral lists this ribosomal RNA (432 nucleotides) under uncultured bacterium. RNAcentral describes it as "partial 16S ribosomal RNA". It matches the Rfam family "Bacterial small subunit ribosomal RNA", at positions 29 to 506 of the family's 1533-position model. The record is from RNAcentral.